GACGAACCGUGCGAACGUUGUUCGGAUUCACUGGGCUUAAAGGGCGCGUAGGCGGGCGGUCAAGUCAGGGGUGAAAUCUUUCGGCUCAACCGGAAAAGUGCCUUUGAUACUGGCCGUCUCGAGGGAGGUAGGGGCAUGCGGAACUUCCGGUGGAGCGGUGAAAUGCGUAGAUAUCGGAAGGAACGCCGGUGGCGAAAGCGGCGUGCUGGACCUCUUCUGACGCUGAGGCGCGAAAGCCAGGG
Molecule: ribosomal RNA, 242 nt
Filed under: uncultured bacterium
Lineage: Bacteria
Description: partial 16S ribosomal RNA
Rfam family: Bacterial small subunit ribosomal RNA
Source: RNAcentral